RNAcentral lists this long non-coding RNA (1213 nucleotides) under Monodelphis domestica (gray short-tailed opossum). RNAcentral's name for it is "lncRNA (ENSMODG00000042351.1)". The record is from RNAcentral. Lineage: Eukaryota; Metazoa; Chordata; Mammalia; Didelphimorphia; Didelphidae.
CUUCCCCCAACUCAGCUUGGUGUCGCAGACAGCCUGUCAGAGAGGUGGGAGGAGGGAAAUGCUCUGGCUCCUAGGUUGAGACCACUGUGUCCCCUCCCAGAAGGGCACAUCACCUAACAAGGAAGUUGGUUUGAAGAUUAGGAGCCAGAAGGGAAGGAAUUGAGGCUCCGAGAGGUCGAGGGCUUUGCCCAGUCACAUGGGAGGUCUUUACCUUACCCCCCUGGAAAACUGGACUCUACCUAAAGAAGCAACCUGGCCUUGGAUGAGUCAGCUUUGGCCUUAUUGUGCUCCCUUCCAGGACUCUACAGAACUUUCUGAACACUUCCAGCCCUGCCCCCAGCUGUUAGCUCAAGUGGCUGAGGAGAUAGAGAGGAAUUAGAGCAGAACCACCUUGAAGGAAGCAGAGAAAGAAGAAAGGAAAAAGGAAUCUUCCUAAGGUAAGAUACAUUCUCUCAUUUGAUCUUCACAGCAAACUGGUGUGAAGUUGGUGCUACUACUAUUCUCAUGUUAUAGAUAAAGAAACUGGGGUUCAAAGAGGUCUUGCACUUUCUCAGGGUCACACAGCUAGUUAUCCCUACCUGCCUCUUGUGAAAUAUGAAUGAACCCAAGAAGCAUAUUGUUUGUUAACUCCCAAUACUAUCAGGUUAAGUCAACAAGUAUUUUUAUGAACCUCCUAAAUUCUGGGAUACUAAGAAAGGGAAAAACAAUCUCUUCCUUUGGGGAUCUCACAGUCAAAUGAGGGGGACAGCAUGUCAACAUCUGCUUACAACUGAUAUUUAUUCACAGGAUAGUUUGGCAAUAAUCUUAGUGGGAAAGCAGUAAUAUAUAUCUUUUUAAAACCCUUACCUUCUGUCUUAGAAUCAAUACAAUGUAUUGGUUCCAAGGCAGAAGAGAAAGGACUAGGCAAUGGAGGUUAAGUGACUUGCCCAGGGUCAUACAGCUAGGAAGUAUCUGAGACCAGAUUUGAACCCAGGACCUCCUGUCUCUAGGCCUGGCUUUAAAUCCACUGAGUCACCCAGCUGCCCCUCUAAAUUACUUCUCUUUUCAAAGUAAUGACUUAGAGUUUUCUUUGAUUUUUUAAUGAGCAAAAAUCAGUUUUCUUUCCUUUCUACCCCCUUUCCCACUAUUGGAAAACAGAAGAUUUGUAAUAACUGCAAAUAGUCAAGCAAAAAAAAUCCCUGAGUAGGCCAUGUUUAAAAAUAUGUCUCUGCAC